GACGAACGCUGGCGGCGUGCUUAACACAUGCAAGUCGAACGGAAAGGCCUGCUUUCCCUUGUGGAUUGCGGGUACUCGAGUGGCGAACGGGUGAGUAACACGUGAGUGAUCUGCCCCCAACUUGGGUAUAAGCCUGGGAAACUGGGUCUAAUUCCCGAUAGGACUGCAGGGUGGUGCCUGUGGUGGAACACGAUUUUCUAGUGGUUGGGGAUGAGCUCGCGGCCUAUCAGCUUGUUGGUGGGGUAAUGGCCUACCAAGGCGGCGACGGGUAGCCGGCCUGAGAGGGUGGACGGCCACAUUGGGACUGAGAUACGGCCCAGAGUCCUACGGGCGGCAGCAGUGGGGAAUAGUGCACGAUGGGCGGAAGCCUGAUGCAGCGACGCCGCGUGGGGGAUGCCGGCCUUCGGGUUGUAAACUCCUUUCGACCGCGAGGAAGCCACCUGGUUGGAAGGGUGGUGACGGUAGUGGUAGAAGAAGCACCGGCUAACUACGUG
RNAcentral lists this ribosomal RNA (494 nucleotides) under uncultured bacterium. RNAcentral's name for it is "partial 16S ribosomal RNA". It matches the Rfam family "Bacterial small subunit ribosomal RNA", at positions 28 to 507 of the family's 1533-position model. The record is from RNAcentral.